This is an RNA transcript of Rhinopithecus roxellana (golden snub-nosed monkey), 687 nucleotides long. It is a transcript of the gene named 3-beta-hydroxysteroid sulfotransferase-like, with no coding region annotated. The transcript is spliced from 3 exons. Lineage: Eukaryota; Metazoa; Chordata; Mammalia; Primates; Cercopithecidae. The record is from RefSeq and is a predicted model, not a curated record.
GGGCCUGUGGAGGAAAAGUUAAAUAUUAAAUUUGAACUCAACUGAACAUGGACACAAACAGUGGUCACCAAGUCCUGGAACAGGUUGUGUGAGCCCCUUGAGGCGUUCAUCCAGCGCUGUUUCGGAGAAAUCUCUAUUUCAAUCUAUUCCUAUUCGUUAGUUAUUGAAAAACAACAGAUAACCACAAAAACAAGUUGACCUUUUUGUGUUCCUUGAGCCCAGUCGUGAAGGGCCCUCGUGGCUGGGCCUCAUGCCAAAUAACUCCUUACAAAAAGAGCCAGGGUCCCAGACUCUGCUGAAGCUUCAUGAGACCUCUCCUUGUCUGUGCAUGGACGAGUGGCUGACUCUGGAGCUCAGGCUGUUGCUUCCCAGUGUGGUGGUGAAUCCUCCCUAGUCUGGAACCGUUUGGAUGGUGGAGAUCAUCAGUCUGAUCCACUCCAAGGGAGAUCCUACUUGGGUCCAAUCUGUUGUUCCCUGGGAUCGUUCCCCAUGGAUAGACGUUAAACAGGAGAAAGCAGGUUUGGAGAGUCAGAAGAGCCCACACCUCUACACCUCCCACCUUCCUAUUCAGUUCUUCCCCAAGUCAUUCUUCAAUUCCAAGGUCAAGGUUCAUCCCUGGACCUGCACUAUGAUUCCUGCGCAGACUGAAGGAGCUCUUUUCAAACUGGUUGUCAUGUAGGUUGUGGG